Non-coding RNA from Bactrocera oleae (olive fruit fly), 3852 nucleotides. The record is from RefSeq and is a predicted model, not a curated record. Lineage: Eukaryota; Metazoa; Arthropoda; Insecta; Diptera; Tephritidae.
GAGUUUGUCUCUUCCGGCCAUUAUAGCAGUCAGUACGGCUCGCCACGAGUCUAGAAAUUUGUGUUGAAUCAUUAAAAAAAAUAAAGUUGAACAACCUGAAUUGCAAUAUUUUAAAGUUUAUAUUGAAAGUAUAUUAGUGUAUCCCUGCCAAAUAGCUAUUUAAAAUUAGAAAUGGCUGAUUCCAAGAAUAACGAUGUUGAGAUGAACGGUGAGGAUUUCUCCAAAGACGUCACUACAAGUGAAAAUGAGAACGGUACCGGCACCAAUGGUACAAAUGGAAACGCUGAUGGUCAGUCAAACGCACGGGAUGACGACAGGUAAUGAGUGAUGAGCAUAAACAAGCCAAUUGUAGCUACGCUUAUGGAAAUCUCCGCAGAUCAACUACAACUCACUAUCACUUCAUUAAUAACAGUACCAGCAGGUAGCUUAGCAACGGCUUCAGCAUGUGAUCACUAAAAGGGUCAAUGAUGGUGAUUUUAAAUGGAAUUGUACAAUACCUUGAUAUAUUUAUACGCGCAAUAGAAAGUGAGUCCUUCAAGUAUGAUGGACACCAAAUGCCUAAGACGACAUCGAAUUGCAUUGCCCAGCAGCUAACAUCGUUAACUGGUCACUGGAUCCCUCACAUCAAACAUGGCGUUGAGACACCAUUCACGAGAAACUUGUCGAUGAAAACUGUUUGUUGGCGGUCUGAGUUGGGAGACUUCUGAGAAGGAGUUGCGCGAACAUUUUGGCAAAUAUGGAGAAAUUGAAAGCAUAAAUGUAAAAACAGAUCCACAGACAGGCCGUUCACGUGGCUUCGCUUUUAUUGUUUUCACUAGCACUGAAGCUAUUGACAAGGUUCACGCCGCUGGUGAACACAUUAUUAACAACAAGAAAGUCGACCCCAAGAAGGCCAAGGCACGUCAUGGAAAAAUUUUUGUCGGUGGUCUUACAAAUGAAAUUAGUGACGAUGAGAUCAAAACAUAUUUCAGCCAAUUUGGCAAUAUUGUCGAUGUUGAGUUGCCAUUUGAUAAGCAAAAGUCACAGCGUAAGGGAUUCUGUUUCAUUACAUUUGAUUCUGAACAAGUGGUAAAUGAGUUGCUGAAAACACCUAAACAAAAAAUAUCCGGCAAGGAAGUUGAUGUUAAACGUGCAACACCGAAGCCAGAAAACCAAAUGAUGGCUAUGCGUGGAGCCCGUGGUGGCAUUCGUGGCGGACGUGGAGGUUUCGGACGUGGUGGAUAUCCACAAUGGCCAGGUCAAGGCGGCUAUGCUCCAUAUGGCGGUUAUGCAGGUGGUUAUGAUCCAGGCUAUGGAGACUAUUACAGCGGGGGCUAUUAUAAUGGCUAUGACUAUGGAUACGGUGCCGGCGGUUAUCCUUCGGGAAAGCAAAGAGGGACGGGACGCCAACCCAGACACCAACCCUACUAAUCAUAUUUGUUGCAAUAAGUUGAUAAUAAUAAACAAGCGCUGGUAUACACAAAAAUCACACACUACAUGAACUUAAUUCUUUGAUUAAGUUUUUACUGAUCGCUUGGAAAUUAACUAUAUAAACGAAUUAUAUGAUUUCUUCUGUGUUAUAUUUAACACGUCGCAUGCACACACAAACGAGAAAUUUGCCACCUGAAAUAAACACUACUACAGAAAUAUACUCAGAGAAGCAGUGGUGACAACAACACCCCAUUCCAAAAAGUUUAUCAUCAAUCAUAUGAAAAAAAUCUCAUUGUUAUCGGCACGGUUAAAACAAUCAAUUUAAGUUCGUAUGUGUGUCCGAAGAACAACAAAUGAAAAAUACACCGGCCUUACUUUUUUAUCCAGAAGUGCAAGCAAAAAAGUCUUAAUUCAGCGUUGCAUUCAUUGCAGUGUCAACUUAUCAACAAUUCAGCAAUCAAUAGUUUAUUAGCAGUACUUUGCAGUAGUUUUAGAUCAUAUAUAUUACACUUAAUCUUAUGUUACCUAAUAUACUUACUUACUUUAAAAUGGUAAUUUUUAUGCUCUAAGUAGUAGUUGUGGUAUGUUAUCAGUUAGCAAUUUGUAAUUAUCAACUCAGCCCCAUUUGAAAAUGCUACUUUCCUUACCCGCAUCCUGUCCACAAUACGCCUCAAUACACGUGUAUACAUGCAAUAUGUAUGUGCGUGUAUGAGAUGUUUGUGUGCAAAUUUCAUUUACAUCAAAUUGUCGCUCAAUUCGUAAUAAAGCUGUCAUGCGUUUAUCUUUUUGCUAGUAUACAUAACGUGCGUUAUGUACUAUUUUUUAUACUUAUCUAUACUUACUACUAAUGUCUAAAAAUAAGCGUAUAACAGAAAGAAUGGCAAACAAACAAAAUAAACUUAUCAAGUUAUGCUUAAAUUAUGAGUACUAUAAAAUGUCAGAAGAGAGUAUGGUGAGAGAGGGUGUAUCAUCGACUAACACAACAAAAUAAAUCAGCAUCCAUUGCAAAACACAAUAAAAACGAAUCCACCAAAAUAUUCGAAACAGAAUUCAACUAAAGACAAAUUAUGUAUGUACAGUUACAACAGUUACAUACAGAUCCAUACAAUUCAAUACAUAUAUAUAUAUUUAUUCUCAUAGUAUAUAUAUAUGUAUAUAUACAAUAUAACGCAGAAGUAACAUCAUAAAAGAAUUUAUAUAUUUUAAUAAAGAUCUAAGAAAAAACAAAACAGAAGUGAAUGUAAUUCAGAUCACUUUUGGGCGGCGGCAACUAAUAUUAACAAAUAUUGUAUAUGCGGCAAAAAAUAGUUUUAAUGAUAACUUUGCAAUUACGUAAGAUAAAUUAAAUAACCUGAUGGAACUUUCUUCCUUUAAAUCACUGCAAAUAGACUAUGGUAUGGAUGUGUGCGUAGUAUGUAUAUGCAUAUGUAUGUAUAUGUACCAUAAUAUUAGGUCAAGUAAAAAGUUCGUUCGGUUUUUAUCUAAGAGAUGGCGUUAUUGUCCAUAGUACUUUGUUUGUCUUUGACAGUUUUUCGAUUGAUUGACUCAGUACGUUGUGAGCGCUCGUCAAAGAUGGACACCAGCAAAGAGAAAAUUCCCUAUAUUCAAAGCGGCUGAAAAAAUUAAUUUAGUUUAUGGGCCCGAUACUGUAAACGAACGUGUAGCACAUAAGUGAUUUGCUAGGUUCCGUUCCGGUAAUUUCGAUGUCAAAGAUACACCACGCGUCGGGAGGCCUGUCGUCGAAAAUUGCGAUAAAAUCAUGGAAAUAGUGGAAACAGACCGUCACGUGAGCACUUAGUUACAGUAAUUGCUGAGGAACUAAAGAUAAGCCAGAAAACCGUUUGGAACCAUUUGCAUUGGCUCUCCGAGUUUUUUGCCAAUAGGGAUGCAGCCUUCUACGAGAGGGGCAUAUGAACUUGGCUUCUCGUUGGCAACAAGUUUACGAACAAAACGGCGCAUAUUUGACUUAAAUCGGAACGAACUUUUUUAGUUGACCUAAUAUAUGUAUUGUAUCUAACAUUAAAUAUGGAAUUUUUUUUCUAAAGUGCCCGUAACAGAAUUCGAACCGAUUUCAGGUGGGUUAAUACAGGAUUGACAAAUCGAAUGGGUUCACAGUGACGUUAACCGUCAUUUAUUAAUGCACAAUGCACUUACAUACUUUCCACUAUUGCAACGUGUGUAAAGGGUGGUCAAUUUGCUGACUUUGGAAGGAAAGUUGCUUGAAAAUAAGAAGAAAAUAUUAUUUUACUGUACUAAAUGUAAAACAAUUUUAAUACAAUGCGCGAGUAAAAGAUGUGUGUUUGUGUUGAGCGGGCAUACGAGUACUAACUGAAUUUAAAUAGUUAUUACCUGACUUGUUAAAUUGCUGACAUUGUAACGGUAAUGUUUAUUCAUAGAUCUAUAUGUAUGUACUCUAUCUUAUUCAUUCAGAAAAAAAAAAAA